GACGAACGCUUGCGGCGUGCCUAAGAAAUGCAAGUCGAGCGAGGUUUAGGCUUCGGCCGACGACCUAGCGGCGAACGGUCGCGUAACACGUAAGCAACCUGCCCUAAAGUUGGGGAUAGCCCGCCGAAAGGCGGAUUAAUACCGAAUGUGGAUAUGAUUUCGCAUGUGAUUAUAUCUGAAGCAGCGAUGCGCUUUAGGAUGGGCUUGCGGCCUAUCAGUUAGUUGGUGUGGGUAACGGCCUACCAAGACGACGACGGGUAGCUGGUCUGAGAGGAUGGUCAGCCGGAUUGGGACUGAGACACGGCCCAGACUCCUACGGGGGGCAGCAAUUAGGAAUCUUGCGCAAUGGGCGAAAGCCUGACGCAGCGACGCCGCGUGACUGAUGAAGUCUUUCGAGAUGUAAAGGCCUUUUGUUGGGGACGAAGGAAGUGACGGUACCCGACGAAUAAGCCCCGGCUAACUACGUG
RNAcentral lists this ribosomal RNA (467 nucleotides) under uncultured bacterium. RNAcentral's name for it is "bacterial SSU rRNA". It matches the Rfam family "Bacterial small subunit ribosomal RNA", at positions 28 to 507 of the family's 1533-position model. The record is from RNAcentral.